Molecule: non-coding RNA, 76 nt
Organism: Podarcis lilfordi (Lilford's wall lizard)
Lineage: Eukaryota; Metazoa; Chordata; Lepidosauria; Squamata; Lacertidae
Source: the annotation of a GenBank genome assembly
AGCUGGAUAGCUCAGUUGGCUAGAGUGUGGUGCUGAUAACACCAAGGUUGCAGGUUCAAUCCCCGUCAGUCAGCUG